UCCAGACUCCUACGGGAGGCAGCAGUGAGGAAUAUUGGUCAAUGGGAGGAAUCCUGAACCAGCCAUGCCGCGUGCAGGACGACGGCUCUACGAGUUGUAAACUGCUUUUGUGCCGGGGUAAAGUGCCUUACGAGUAGGGUUUUGAAAGUACGGCACGAAUAAGGAUCGGCUAACUCCGUGCCAGCAGCCGCGGUAAUACGGAGGAUGCGAGCGUUAUCCGGAUUUAUUGGGUUUAAAGGGUGCGUAGGCGGACGCUUAAGUCAGCGGUAAAAUUGCGGGGCUCAACCUCGUCGAGCCGUUGAAACUGGGUGCCUUGAGUGGGCGAGAAGUACGCGGAAUGCGUGGUGUAGCGGUGAAAUGCAUAGAUAUCACGCAGAACUCCGAUUGCGAAGGCAGCGUACCGGCGCCCAACUGACGCUGAAGCACGAAGGCGUGGGUAUCGAACAGGAUUAGAUACCCGUGUAAG
This 466-nucleotide ribosomal RNA is filed under the name uncultured bacterium. RNAcentral describes it as "bacterial SSU rRNA". It matches the Rfam family "Bacterial small subunit ribosomal RNA", at positions 330 to 793 of the family's 1533-position model. The record is from RNAcentral.